AGAGUUUGAUCAUGGCUCAGAAUCAACGCUGGCGGCGUGCCUAACACAUGCAAGUCGAGCGAGAAAAGGGGAGCAAUCCCCUGAGUACAGCGGCGCACGGGUGAGUAACACGUGGGUAAUCUGCCCUGGAGUGGGGAAUAACACCGGGAAACCGGUGCUAAUACCGCAUACGAUCACAGAGUCUGCGGAUUUUGUGAUGAAAGGAGCAAUUCGCUCUAGGAGGAGCCCGCGGCUGAUUAGCUAGUUGGUGAGGUAAUGGCUCACCAAGGCAACGAUCAGUAUCCGGUCUGAGAGGACGGUCGGACACACUGGAACUGAGACACGGUCCAGACUCCUACGGGAGGCAGCAGUGGGGAAUUUUUGGCAAUGGGGGCGACCCUGACCAAGCAACGCCGCGUGGGUGAUGAAGUCUCUUGGGACGUAAAACCCUUUCGACGGGGACGAAACCGCAAGGUUGACGGUACCCGUAGAAGAAGCCCCGGCUAACUCCGUGCCAGCAGCCGCGGUAAUACGGGGGGGGCAAGCGUUGUUCGGAAUUACUGGGCGUAAAGGGCGCGUAGGCGGUGCUCUAAGUCGGAUGUGAAAACUCUGGGCUCAACCCAGAGCCUGCAUCCGAAACUGGAGUGCUGGAGUUCUGGAGGGGGUAGCGGAAUUCCUGGUGUAGCGGUGAAAUGCGUAGAUAUCAGGAGGAACACCGGUGGCGAAGGCGGCUACCUGGACAGAAACUGACGCUGAGGCGCGAAAGCUAGGGGAGCAAACAGGAUUAGAUACCCUAGUAGUCC
RNAcentral lists this ribosomal RNA (782 nucleotides) under uncultured bacterium. RNAcentral describes it as "bacterial SSU rRNA". It matches the Rfam family "Bacterial small subunit ribosomal RNA", at positions 8 to 796 of the family's 1533-position model. The record is from RNAcentral.